RNAcentral lists this long non-coding RNA (831 nucleotides) under Nicotiana benthamiana. RNAcentral describes it as "long non-coding RNA (NBEN_LNC011986)". Lineage: Eukaryota; Viridiplantae; Streptophyta; Magnoliopsida; Solanales; Solanaceae. The record is from RNAcentral.
GUUGGUCGAGGACAUGAGCCAUCAACAAAUCCGAUUUUGUUUUUAGCAGAUAAGGCAACAAUCAUCUUCCUCCUCCAACCUCCAUAACCACUGCCUUAAAAGGGAGUGGACACAAGAGACAUACCAGGAACGUCGGAGGAGUAAAUUAGGAUGGGACUAGUAGAGUCUGCGAGGGAGGUAUUAGUAUUCGUAUUAUCAGCCAUGAAUAAUGAACAAGCUUAACAACACAGAAAUAGUCUCAAUGAAUAGACCACAAUCAAACCAGAACUGGCAUGCAACAUAUACGACACUUAGAACAGAGAAAGUGUUACCAUCCUUAUUCGCGACCGGAGAAGAACGACCUUCAACCACCGGAUGAAACUAAGUCCGGUCACCGGAGAUUGCAAUCAAACGGAAACUUACCAGAAUCAGGUCACAAACGUCAGAAGCUUACCCAAAACGUAUAUCGACCGAAGGUAAAAUCAUCGGAUAACAUCAAAACCCCUGGUCUGAAAGUCGGAAAACCCUAGAUUUGAAGAACUCACCGGAAUAAGACCAGAGAUGUCGGAAAAUCACCCAAAACAUCUGCUGAUACAUGAUCGGAGCCUCAAACAGUCAGAAAAGUCCCGAUUAUCCGAUUAACAUUCAUCGAAAAAUACACAAACAGUAUUUUUCUCAGAUGACCGAAAAAAACUUCAGCAAAAGCUUCAGCAAGUAUCGAUAACACAUAACAGAGAGAGAUCAGAAGAUUUUCCGGCUCUGAUACCAUGAAAACAUAUGAGUUUAGUGCCGGAAAAAUGAACGAGAAUGAAGAGAGAUGAUGAACACAGAGAAGGAGAGGGAAGCUUCUGG